RNAcentral lists this ribosomal RNA (253 nucleotides) under uncultured bacterium. RNAcentral describes it as "partial 16S ribosomal RNA". It matches the Rfam family "Bacterial small subunit ribosomal RNA", at positions 524 to 776 of the family's 1533-position model. The record is from RNAcentral.
UACAGAGGUCCCAAGCGUUGUUCGGAUUCACUGGGCGUAAAGGGUGCGUAGGCGGUCGGGUAAGUCUGGCGUGAAAUCUCCAAGCCUAACUUGGAAACUGCGUUGGAUACUAUCCGGCUCGAGGAAUGGAGGGGAGACUGGAAUACUUGGUGUAGCAGUGAAAUGCGUAGAUAUCAAGUGGAACACCAGUGGCGAAGGCGAGUCUCUGGACAUUUCCUGACGCUAAGGCACGAAAGCCAGGGGAGCAAACGGG